AUGAUGAAGGAGAUUUCGGCAGAGGUGUGAAGAGACUCGCAUGGGCUGA
Molecule: small nucleolar RNA, 49 nt
Filed under: Pyrococcus furiosus DSM 3638
Lineage: Archaea; Methanobacteriati; Methanobacteriota; Thermococci; Thermococcales; Thermococcaceae
Description: PFUsR4
Source: RNAcentral